RNAcentral lists this ribosomal RNA (246 nucleotides) under uncultured bacterium. Its description in RNAcentral is "partial 16S ribosomal RNA". It matches the Rfam family "Bacterial small subunit ribosomal RNA", at positions 527 to 772 of the family's 1533-position model. The record is from RNAcentral.
GUAGGUGACAAGCGUUGUCCGGAUUUACUGGGUGUAAAGGGCGCGUAGGCGGGUUAGCAAGUCAGUCGUGAAAUGCCGAGGCUUAACCUCGUAGCUGCGAUUGAAACUGUUAUUCUUGAGUAUCGGAGAGGAAAGCGGAAUUCCUAGUGUAGCGGUGAAAUGCGUAGAUAUUAGGAGGAACACCAGUGGCGAAGGCGGCUUUCUGGACGACAACUGACGCUGAGGCGCGAAAGUGUGGGGAGCAAA